UUGUGAUGAAGGCACGGGCGGAAGCUUGAAUGAGCAAUGCCCGCGGUGAGUGAUGAAGGAUCUCCGGUUCUGAAAACUCUGUUGUAAGGGAAACAAGGAUCCCCUAACUGGCUGUCCCUUGACGGUACCUUAUUAAAAAGCCCCGGCUAACUACGUGCCAGCAGCCGCGGUAAUACGUAGGGGGCAAGCGUUGUCCGGAAUUAUUGGGCGUAAAGCGCGCGCAGGCGGUUUCUUAAGACUGAUGUGAAAUCCCACGGCUCAACCGUGGAGGUGCAUUGUUAACUGGGAGACUUGAGUGCAGAAGAGGAUAGUGGAAUUCCAAGUGUAGCGGUGAAAUGCGUAGAUAUUUGGAGGAACACCAAUGGCGAAGGCGACUAUCUGGUCUGUUACUGACACUGAGGCGCGAAAGCGUGGGGAGCAAACAGGAUUAGAUACCCCGGUAGUCA
Molecule: ribosomal RNA, 446 nt
Filed under: Lysinibacillus fusiformis
Lineage: Bacteria; Bacillati; Bacillota; Bacilli; Caryophanales; Bacillaceae
Description: bacterial SSU rRNA
Rfam family: Bacterial small subunit ribosomal RNA
Source: RNAcentral